UACGUAGGAGGCAAGCGUUGUCCGGAUUUAUUGGGCGUAAAGCGAGCGCAGGCGGUUCCUUAAGUCUGAUGUGAAAGCCCACGGCUCAACCGUGGAAGGUCAUUGGAAACUGGGGAACUUGAGUGCAGAAGAGGAGAGUGGAAUUCCAUGUGUAGCGGUGAAAUGCGUAGAUAUAUGGAGGAACACCAGUGGCGAAGGCGACUCUCUGGUCUGUAACUGACGCUGAGGCUCGAAAGCGUGGGGAGCAAACAGGAUUAGA
Molecule: ribosomal RNA, 259 nt
Filed under: uncultured prokaryote
Description: partial 16S ribosomal RNA
Rfam family: Bacterial small subunit ribosomal RNA
Source: RNAcentral